RNAcentral lists this ribosomal RNA (448 nucleotides) under uncultured bacterium. Its description in RNAcentral is "bacterial SSU rRNA". It matches the Rfam family "Bacterial small subunit ribosomal RNA", at positions 355 to 825 of the family's 1533-position model. The record is from RNAcentral.
UCGGGAAUCUUGGACAAUGGGCGCAAGCCUGAUCCAGCCAUGCCGCGUGGAUGAUGAAGGCCUUAGGGUUGUAAAAUCCUUUCGUGGGGGACGAUAAUGACGGUACCCCAAGAAGAAGCUCCGGCUAACUUCGUGCCAGCAGCCGCGGUAAUACGAAGGGGGCUAGCGUUGUUCGGAUUUACUGGGCGUAAAGCGCGUGUAGGCGGGUCGUUAAGUUGGGGGUGAAAUCCCGAGGCUCAACCUCGGAACUGCCUUCAAAACUGGCGACCUGGACUCAAGCAGAGGCAAGUGGAAUUGCGAGUGUAGAGGUGAAAUUCGUAGAUAUUCGCAGGAACACCAGUGGCGAAGGCGACUUGCUGGGCUUGUAGUGACGCUGAGGCUCGAAAGCGUGGGGAGCGAAACAGGAUUAGAUACCCCUGUAGUCCCUGAGCGGGCUGGCAAGGCGCAU